GAGACUCGCAGACGGAGCGGCAGCCAGAGCCUGAGUGGAAUUGCACGUGGGAAGACGGCCCCGGGAAGCCUCAGACCGAGAGGCUGCAGAGGGCAACAGACGCCCGAGGAGAGGCCAGAGGGACAGGGCAGGGAGAAACGCGUGAGCCGCUUAGAUUCCUAAAGGAAGGUGGAUGCAGAAACCUCUAUACUCAUCCUAGUCCAAACUAGGCCUGGCAUGGUUGGGGCACCAGAUUUAGACAUCUAAAGUUGCUGCUGUCCCAGGUCUUAAGAUAACGCUUCCUGGAACUUUCUGUCACUUCUUCCAAAUGACUCAGAGCAGAUUCAAGAUUCCUGACCCUCAACUGCUUAAGUCAUCGUGCCGGUGUUCUUAGGUCUUCUCAGUGGAAGUUCUUUUGAUGGUGUAACUUCAUUCCAUUCUUUUAAAAUCUGAUAUUGGAUAGUGAUGACCAGCUUUGAAAAGCUGCACCCUUAAGUCUGAAGUAUCUCCUGAAGUGGUCCCUUUAUCAGUGCCCCACAGCGGCUUGCUAGGCACACCACUUGGCUUCAUGGACUGCAAGGAGGCAAACACUGGGGAUUGGAGCAAGUCAACCAGGACAGCGAACCCUGGGCUCUAUGUACAGAGGUCCAUCUCCACUGCUGGAGAGCCUACCCCCUGUCCUGCAACGGCUCAUGCACUGCUGUGCACAACGGGGAAGGAAUGGAGAUAGGGAGAAGAGAGGCAUUCAGAGGGGAGGGGAGAACGAUGAACUGCAACAUUACCCAUCAACUUUAAAGACUGGAUUUAUUUGGAGAAAAACAAAAAAAACCCUCAACCCAAAGGAUGGGAUUUUACAUCUCAAGACAUCUCCCAAGUAAUGUCUACAGAUUACAAAUCAUUUUCAUAGAAGAUAUUUUUGUACAAAUUUUACAUGUAUUCAGGAGCGGGACAUAAGUCAACCCCUGUUUUUAUUUUAACAGAGGAGCAAAGUAGGAGAGUGGGACAAAACAGCUGUCUUCUGGAUGCAACUAUCUGGAAAGGAAAUAGACAUGAAGAGGGCAAACUACCUUCUCAUUGUCUACAACAAUGGUUUAAAAACCCGAUCAACUGUGGGUAUCUCUGCAAAAGCCCACCCCUAGCUACUCGCCAAUCAAAUCCAGCGGAGAAGGGAUUUGCUGUGCCUACUGCUGCAGCCCGGGACACCACGCUCCUGCACAGCAGGCCUAGGAUGAAGGCAUCAUCUGUCUGCAGGUACCUGACUACCCACAACAGGGAGGCUUGCCAUCUUUGGAGCUGACCNUACAAAGGUGCACAUCAAAGCAGACAGGUCAA
Mus pahari (shrew mouse) is the source of this 1311-nucleotide long non-coding RNA. RefSeq lists it as uncharacterized. The transcript is spliced from 2 exons. Lineage: Eukaryota; Metazoa; Chordata; Mammalia; Rodentia; Muridae. The record is from RefSeq and is a predicted model, not a curated record.